UACGUAGGGUGCAAGCGUUAAUCGGAAUUACUGGGCGUAAAGCGUGCGCAGGCGGUUUUGUAAGACUGUCGUGAAAUCCCCGGGCUUAACCUGGGAAUGGCGAUGGUGACUGCAAGGCUAGAGUGUGGCAGAGGGGGGUGGAAUUCCACGUGUAGCAGUGAAAUGCGUAGAGAUGUGGAGGAACACCGAUGGCGAAGGCAGCCCCCUGGGUUAACACUGACGCUCAGGCACGAAAGCGUGGGGAGCAAACAGG
Molecule: ribosomal RNA, 253 nt
Filed under: uncultured bacterium
Lineage: Bacteria
Description: partial 16S ribosomal RNA
Rfam family: Bacterial small subunit ribosomal RNA
Source: RNAcentral